CCUGGUCUUACAUACAAUGGCUAAGAGCAAAGAACUUGUGCCAACCAACUCUGUAUGGAGUCCAGGAUUCACAGAGGAGCUUCUCCCAGCUUCUAAGCAGAUAUCCCUGCUGUACCACAUCUCCUACCUGUGUCUGGCUAAGUUUCCAAACUUGGAGAGGCUCCUCAGGAAGUGUGCUGGGGAAACCCAACUUCUCUUUGGAUCCUCUGAAGCUCUUCUGCUGAAGUGUAUGGGCACCAGUCAGACCCAGGUUUCAUCACUGUUUCCAAUGCUGAUACAUGCUAUUGAAAAAAACAAACCAACACUGGCGGUAAGGUACCUGGAAAAAGCAAGAACCUGGAUUGAUGAACUUAUUGCAGAUGUGGACAAGAUGGUGCAAAGCUAUGUUCAACACAACGAAGAUGUGGCCACAACUACCAGUGACAUCAUCACUGAAAAGGCAAACACUGAGGCCAAGUCUGAGCAGCUUUCCAAGGAAGUUCAGGAAAUGGAGGGAGCUAUAAAGACCCUUGAAGAAAAGCUUGCCGGAGUUAGGAACGAGCUUGAAGACACCAAAAGGAAGAUAGAUGCCAAAAACCUGGAACUUGAGAGUUAUGUAAGGGACGUGACAAGCAAAAGCUCAGGCCUCGGAAUCUUCGCUGCGAUUGUGCCAUUCAUUGGGCCAAUCGUCAAGUCCAUUUACGAUGCCGCAACAUCCCCCGCUGCUGCUGCAAAAAUCAAAGCUCUUGAAAACCAGCUGAAUCAGCUCACCUCUCAAAAGGCGGCUCUGAUGAACCAACAGUGGAGCAUUGAGGUCCAGCAGAUUGACUUACAGAUGAAACUGGCCAAAGUAAAAAUUGACAAGGGCUCUAUACCCAGCCCUGUCCACCUGAACGAGGUCCAGCGAUAUCUGACUAAAAUCCAGAACAUUCUGAUUCAGAUCAAAAACUUCUGGCAAAAGGUGCACAGUAUGUUGGGUGUCAUGCAGAAAAAGACAUUUGUUAAUGAAGAUCUUGUUGAUGAACCUGAACUUAAAGAAGAAUUUGUGAAUUCAAUCCAAAAGGCUUCAGAGAUUUGGUCAAAUUUUGGUGGUUCCUGUGGUAAAGCUGCUGAAAUAUUCAAAAUACAGUCCAAGGAUGCCUAUGCGUUCCUGGAGAUUGAUCCAUCGUCUCUCUCAGACGCCGUGUGGCAGGAAGAGUAUAACAGUGUUAUGGGACAGCUACAGGAAAUGAAAGUCUUGAACCAGACUCCAG
Electrophorus electricus (electric eel) is the source of this 1232-nucleotide long non-coding RNA. The record is from Ensembl. NCBI's taxonomy places the organism in Eukaryota, Metazoa, Chordata, Actinopteri, Gymnotiformes, Gymnotidae.